Long non-coding RNA from Topomyia yanbarensis, 1567 nucleotides. RefSeq lists it as uncharacterized. The transcript is spliced from 3 exons. The record is from RefSeq and is a predicted model, not a curated record. Lineage: Eukaryota; Metazoa; Arthropoda; Insecta; Diptera; Culicidae.
CAACAGUAAACCACAGCAGAUACAGAUCCAGCGAACAUAAAUCUUCCAACAGUAACAACAAGGCCCCACAAUCACCAUUCAGCAGCAGAGCGCGGUGACAAUAGAUCAACAGCAAACACAAUAUGUAGGAGCUCAAAAGCUACUUUCUCUUUCGACAAACAUGUUAUGGAAGUUCACGACAUGUUAAAACGGGCUAAACGUAAGCCAGGAAAAGGUCCUUCAGACAGAUAACAUUCAGGCGGCGUUGGUGUUGGUGGCAUUUCGAAGGUACCGAGAGCUAGAUCCGACCCUAUCAGCAACACGAAACGAACCCCGGCAAGACUGGUGGGGCGCAAGGUGCCAGUGAACACACGACACCCCCUACAUAAUUCAAUAGUUCUGGGGAAAGUUUUCAUUGGGACGUAUAUGACAUUAUCUUUGUUUACUUUCGCUUCUGUUUAUUACUCGGUUGCUUCAACAUUUACCUCUUAACUCUUUCCUUAAUAUUCUAGUAAAAACUAUCGGUUUUCGAAAUGUACUGAAAAUUAACGGAAAGUAAAUUAAUGAAAAAUUAAAUUAUGUAGUUAAAAUUAGAGGAAAGUUUAUGUUACUUAAGCCCUAUUGAAAAUUUUCUCCAGAGUUAUUUAAUAGUUAGCUGCACCGCGCUAAAAUGUCUAUCGAAUUCCAUAAGAACCACUUAUGAAUUUGCGCCAGAAGUAUCCCAUACAGAAAUCAUAAGCGUGUUUAAUGAUUUAGAGGGGAAGUUGACCAUCGAGCCGCUUACGAAUUUCAUAAGUCAUAUUUAAAGAUUUCUGAGGAUGUUCUUAAGAUUUUUGUGUGAAUAUACUUAUAUUAUGCAUCAUGGUGAAAUGUGAAUUUAAGAUAGGAAUUGUCAUAAGGUCUAAUAAUUGUGAAUAAGAAUAUUUUUUGUCUUUUUUCUUGUCAUAGUUUUAAUAUCAUUAAACAUUAGUUUGCAUACAUGUUCAAAUUAGUCUCCAAUUGGAAAAAAAGAUCACCUGCUUGGAAACAUUUCUAGAUUCACAAGCACUAUAACUCUUCUAAGUAUACAUCGUCAGAUUUAGUCAUGUCACAAGAUUGUACAGGUGCUGCAAAAUAUAUAUAAAGAAUAUGAGGCAAUAGUCCAUAAACUUUAAAUAAACACUUACAUUUACUCUCCCUCAUUUGAAACAGAGCUAGUGUCCAAUUGCAACACACCUAUAGCUUACAACUAAUGCCAUUAAUUUUGUUCCGAUUUUUGACUUUUCACAGUACUAUUCUUUAUAAUAAUCUUAAGACUCGUCUAUUAGUUACCUACGAAAUUGAUAUAUUCGCUUAUGAAAAAUGCAUAAGCGUCUAAUGAAAUCAAAAUUAUGCAUUUCACGAAGUAAAACCAUUUCUGUCAAGGACAUAUAUACAGUACAUGGAUAAAUAAACAAUUGAAACGGACAGGAAAAUAGUUUGAGUGUAAUUUAAGCAACGGUCAAGGCAUUGCGUUGGAAUAGUAUUUGGCUUUCCUACAAAUAUUGACAAACUGUAACAUGUAACAUGCAAUAUGUAAUAUAAUAAUAACUAACUAUUUGCUAUUUGA